Molecule: long non-coding RNA, 320 nt
Organism: Cydia amplana
Lineage: Eukaryota; Metazoa; Arthropoda; Insecta; Lepidoptera; Tortricidae
Exons: 3
Source: RefSeq, a predicted model, not a curated record
GGUGGGCUUGGUGGUACUACCCACUGUGAAACCAUUCCGAACGUAGGUAUGGGAAUGGGCUAUGGUAUAGGUGGGACUGGUGGCGCUACCGUCUUUGAAACCAUUCCAAACGUAGGUAUGGGAAUGGGCUACGGUAUGGGUGGGCUAGGCAUGGGUGGGAUUGGUGGUGCUACCGUCUAUGAAACGAUUCCAACCGUAGGCUAUGGAAUGGGCUACGGAAUGGGUGGGAUUGGAAUGGGUGGGAUUGGUGGUGCUACCGUCUGUGAAACGAUUCCGAACGUAGGCUAUGGAAUGGGCUACGGCAUGGGUGGUCCAGGCAU